GAGUGUAUAGCUCAAAUGGCAGAGUGCAUGCUUUGCAUGCAUGAAGUCAUGGGUUCAGUCCCCAGUAUCA
RNAcentral lists this transfer RNA (70 nucleotides) under Camelus bactrianus (Bactrian camel). It matches the Rfam family "tRNA". From Rfam's summary of the family: Transfer RNA (tRNA) molecules are approximately 80 nucleotides in length. Their secondary structure includes four short double-helical elements and three loops (D, anti-codon, and T loops). RNAcentral also lists the same sequence under 3 other names. The record is from Rfam by way of RNAcentral. Lineage: Eukaryota; Metazoa; Chordata; Mammalia; Artiodactyla; Camelidae.